This 253-nucleotide ribosomal RNA is filed under the name uncultured bacterium. Its description in RNAcentral is "partial 16S ribosomal RNA". It matches the Rfam family "Bacterial small subunit ribosomal RNA", at positions 524 to 776 of the family's 1533-position model. The record is from RNAcentral.
UACGAAGGGUGCAAGCGUUACUCGGAAUUACUGGGCGUAAAGCGUGCGUAGGUGGUUUGUUAAGUCUGAUGUGAAAGCCCUGGGCUCAACCUGGGAACGGCAUUGGAAACUGGCUUACUAGAGUGCGGUAGAGGGGUGUGGAAUUCCCGGUGUAGCAGUGAAAUGCGUAGAUAUCGUUUGGAACGCCAAUGGUGAAAACAGGUUGCUGGGAGUGUGCUGACGCUGAGACACGAAAGCCAGGGGAGCAAACGGG